UCUACGGGGCGCAGCAGUGAGGAAUAUUGGUCAAUGGCCGGAAGGCUGAACCAGCCAUGCCGCGUGAAGGUCAGUGCCCUAUGGGCGUUAAACUUCUUUUGUGCGGGAGCAAUAAUGGUCACGUGUGGCCAGACGAGAGUACCAUACGAAUCAGCAUCGGCUAACUCCGUGCCAGCAGCCGCGGUAAUACGGGGGAUGCAAGCGUUAUCCGGAUUUAUUGGGUUUAAAGGGUGAGUAGGCUGUGAGGUAAGUCAGCGGGGAAAUGCCCCCGCUCAACGGGGUGAAGUGCCAUUGAUACUGCCUUGCUGGAAUGCGGAUGCCGUGGGAGGAAUGUGUGGUGUAGCGGUGAAAUGCAUAGAUAUCACACAGAACACCGAUUGCGAAGGCAUCUCACGAAUCCGCGAUUGACGCUGAUGCACGAAAGCGUGGGUAUCAAACAGGAUUAGAUACCCGAGUAGUC
This 460-nucleotide ribosomal RNA is filed under the name uncultured bacterium. RNAcentral describes it as "partial 16S ribosomal RNA". It matches the Rfam family "Bacterial small subunit ribosomal RNA", at positions 338 to 795 of the family's 1533-position model. The record is from RNAcentral.